RNAcentral lists this long non-coding RNA (262 nucleotides) under Homo sapiens (human). RNAcentral's name for it is "non-protein coding lnc-HRASLS-4:1". Lineage: Eukaryota; Metazoa; Chordata; Mammalia; Primates; Hominidae. The record is from RNAcentral.
UGUUGCUGCUGCUGCUGCUUUUGGUUACUGGUCUCUUCACUCAUGCUUGUUUUACUGAUGCCUUGUUUACAUGUAUUGCAGUUGAUACUUUGGCUCUGCCCAUGAGUCUUUAAGUGGCUGGAUACCUUGUCUUCGUGGCGCACCAUGUGUGUCCGCAGUCUGUCUUUGGCGGCAAAGGCAGCAGUGCACGUCUUGAGAAGCCUUUCCCACAAACACUGCAAGUAUAGGGUUUGGUGAUUCCUCCUUCAUGAGACCUCACACG